RNAcentral lists this ribosomal RNA (118 nucleotides) under Lepisosteus oculatus (spotted gar). Lineage: Eukaryota; Metazoa; Chordata; Actinopteri; Semionotiformes; Lepisosteidae. The record is from RNAcentral.
UUCAGCAGCCAUAUCAGCCUGCAACUCUCAACUGGCAGCCCACUGAAGCUCAGCAGGUGUGAGCCUGGUUAGUACCUGGAUGGGAGACUCCUGGGAAAAACUAAGGUUGCUGCUGGAA